AGAGUUUGAUCCUGGCUCAGGACGAACGCUGGCGGCGUGCCUAACACAUGCAAGUCGAGCGGGGAUAUACGGAAGGUUUACCGGAAGUAUAUCCUAGCGGCGGACGGGUGAGUAACGCGUGGGUAACCUACCUCAUACAGGGGGAUAACACAGGGAAACCUGUGCUAAUACCGCAUAACAUAACGGGGCGGCAUCGUCCUGUUAUCAAAGGAGAAAUCCGGUAUGAGAUGGGCCCGCGUCCGAUUAGCUGGUUGGUGAGGUAACGGCUCACCAAGGCGACGAUCGGUAGCCGAACUGAGAGGUUGGUCGGCCACAUUGGGACUGAGACACGGCCCAGACUCCUACGGGAGGCAGCAGUGGGGAAUAUUGCGCAAUGGGGGAAACCCUGACGCAGCAACGCCGCGUGAAGGAAGAAGGCCUUCGGGUUGUAAACUUCUUUGAUUGGGGACGAAGGAAGUGACGGUACCCAAAGAACAAGCCACGGCUAACUACGUGCCAGCAGCCGCGGUAAUACGUAGGUGGCGAGCGUUGUCCGGAAUUACUGGGUGUAAAGGGCGCGUAGGCGGGGAUGCAAGUCAGAUGUGAAAUUCCGGGGCUUAACCCCGGCGCUGCAUCUGAAACUGUAUCUCUUGAGUGCUGGAGAGGAAAGCGGAAUUCCUAGUGUAGCGGUGAAAUGCGUAGAUAUUAGGAGGAACACCAGUGGCGAAGGCGGCUUUCUGGACAGUAACUGACGCUGAGGCGCGAAAGCGUGGGGGAGCAAACAGGAUUAGAUACCCUGGUAGUCCACGCCGUAAACGAUGGAUACUAGGUGUAGGAGGUAUCGACCCCUUCUGUGCCGGAGUUAACACAAUAAGUAUCCCACCUGGGGAGUACGGCCGCAAGGUUGAAACUUAAAUGAAUUGACGG
RNAcentral lists this ribosomal RNA (906 nucleotides) under uncultured bacterium. Its description in RNAcentral is "bacterial SSU rRNA". It matches the Rfam family "Bacterial small subunit ribosomal RNA", at positions 8 to 916 of the family's 1533-position model. The record is from RNAcentral.